Molecule: ribosomal RNA, 274 nt
Filed under: uncultured bacterium
Lineage: Bacteria
Description: partial 16S ribosomal RNA
Rfam family: Bacterial small subunit ribosomal RNA
Source: RNAcentral
CCCGCCGGCGACCGGCGCACGGGUGAGUAACACGUAUGAAACCUGCCCGUAGCAGGGGGAUAAGCGGAAGAAAUUCCGUCUAAUACCGCGUAACAACCCAUGGAGGCAUCUCUGUGGGUUUAAAGGAAGCGAUUCCGGCUACGGAUGGUCAUGCGGCGCAUUAGCUAGACGGCGGGGUAACGGCCCACCGUGGCGACGAUGCGUAGGGGUUCUGAGAGGAAGGUCCCCCACACUGGUACUGAGACACGGACCAGACUCCUACGGAAGGCAGCAG